Long non-coding RNA from Xenopus laevis (African clawed frog), 2141 nucleotides. RefSeq lists it as uncharacterized. Lineage: Eukaryota; Metazoa; Chordata; Amphibia; Anura; Pipidae. The record is from RefSeq and is a predicted model, not a curated record. The transcript is spliced from 3 exons.
GCUGUGAUACAGUCGGACCCUGGGAGCAAAACCACUCACAAAGACAUUUGCACUAGCAAACAAGCUGCAGCUGAGAUUUACUAGGAGUUUAAAACAAAGGGAGAGCUGGCACAUAUGCACGUGUAUCUCCCUAUCUGCAGAUCUGCUUUCAUUCCUCUGUAACUAGCAUAUACAGACACUAUACAAACCACAACUAUUGUUUGCCUGAAUAAAGUUUCCUGGGUCUGUGCAAAUGAAGGAGCUGAGCCUAUUGUCACAUUCAAGUGACAAGUAAUGGUUUAUAGCAUGAUUGCAUCAAUCAGUUGUGUGUUAAAUGAAACUGCAGCAGAUGAAGGCAAGAUACCCCUAGAUAUAAACUAUUUCUGGCAUUAAAAGGGGGAUGGCUAUAUAUAUUAUGCUAGUUCUACAGCAAGCAGGGUGUAGUGUGCAGGAAUCAGGCACAUCACACUAUUGCUAUAACUAGCACAGGCAGAGGGAAGGUUUCCAAGAGCUUUAUUCCUUCAAACACAGUUUUAUCACAGGAAACAAACAAUGCAUCACUGCUGGUUUAUACACACAAGUUAGUUACACUUUGUAUACUUAGAACAAAACAGAUUGCAAUUAUGCUGGCUUCACUCUGAUGAAAGAAAAUCACAUUCCCUUUCUCUAAUAAGGACUACAUAGUACAGAAGCUUCUCUCUUGACUAGUGAAUAAUAAACAAGUAGAGUGCCACCUUACCUGCGAGGGUCAUGCACCUCUACUGAAAACUUCUUCUCUCUGAAGUAAAGGUUUUCCAGCUGCCGCCAUUGGAAGAUCUAGACAAGAGUAAAGCGGAGGUCAGUUACCAUUUCCAGGAACACAUUGUCAGGUAAUAAGUGGCAGUUCCUCUGUAACAAUCCAACUUGCCUUCCAUGUUAUCGAUCAGUGAUAUAACAUGCAGGACAUUCCCAUUACUUGUGUGAUUCUCCUCUAAAUUUGUUGAUUUCUUUCCCAAUUCAAUCCUUUUAUGAAGCAGUUAAAAAGGGAAAUCUCAGGAGCAAGCAGUAGCCAUCUGUGAGUGCAGAUUCCCCCUUUCAGAGUGGUGAAAUGGCAAGGAAUUCAAAUUCCCCUGCCUCCCAUUGGAACAGCCACUUCCUGCCCACUAAAUGUGUAAUAGUCCCUGACAAGCACUGUUGCUUGAAGCAGCUUCUAAAAAAACCCAGGAGAGGGCGGGGGCUGAGGGCUGACCUUAAUUCAAGGCAAUGUGAGAUGAUAACAAUGUGAGCUUGUAAAAGUAGCUCCCAGUGUGCACAAAGCUCACAUUUUCUUCCCCUGCAGUUAUCAGGGGGCAGCAGAAAGCUACAGGCAAAUGCUUUCAGUUUGGGAUAAGACAGAGAAUCCUGGCACCCAGCUGCGUACAAUAUGUUCUUGCACCCCAGUCACACGGCUCGAGCAAUAAAGGAGCAGGCACACGCAAUGGUCAGUUAGCCUGCCUGUAUGUUUGGAGUGUGGGAAGAAGCCAGAUCAUCCAGUGGAACCCAUGCAGACAUGUGAUGUGAAGACAAAGCCCUACUUGGAAUCACCCCAGGACCUUGACACUAGAAGGCACCGAUCUUAGCCAGUAUGCCACCGUGCUACAUUGAUUUAGGGACCAUUAAUUACAGCAGAACUAUAACAGCACAGAUUUAAAGUCUCCAAAACGACUCCAUAUUACAUUUACCUUGUUAUUGACAAAACUAUCUAGCCAUCGGGACAACACCACAGCAUUCAGUUUAAGAACCAAAACAGAAUGUUUACAUAAAUGUUAAAUUAUUGAUCGCCCCAUGUGCAGCCUUUCAGCUGGCUGGCCAUUGCUUUGCAGCAUUAUUUAUUCUAGCACAUUUGUUGGCAGUGAAACGUUGUAGAUUCCAAGGCUUUGCAGGGUAGACUCAGCCGACGAAGAACUUGGUUCUUUCUCUCAAACUGUACACUUCAACCUGCUGCUGAAACUGCUGAGUAAGUGGGAAUAAGCAUUUAAAAUAGCAUAGUUAUUUUUUUAACUAUUUAUAGAGCCAGAAAAAACACUGGAUCAUAAAAAAGAAAAGCAAUAAAUGGCAUGUUUAAUGUCGGUGAGUUUUCUUUUCUCUCUGCACCACAUACUAACAUUUUGUACGUUAAUAAUAAAAAAUGAUAAUUUGUCACA